RNAcentral lists this long non-coding RNA (8346 nucleotides) under Gossypium barbadense (sea-island cotton). RNAcentral describes it as "long non-coding RNA (GBAR_LNC010323)". The record is from RNAcentral. Lineage: Eukaryota; Viridiplantae; Streptophyta; Magnoliopsida; Malvales; Malvaceae.
UCGACUUAAGAUUCACAUCACUUAAAUUGAUUCCUUGAAAUUGGUUAACUCUGGGUUUAUCAAAAAUUACUUGUUUCAAACUGACACGACAACCAAACGUCUUCGAAAAGAAACUUUUCAAAGUACAACAAAAGUCACAUUUUUCUAAACCCUUAACAAUCGAUAAUGGAUAGGACUCACACUAGUAAUCAGAACAUUUCUCUUAAAACUUCAUUAUUGGUCUUUGCAAAGCUCACCCAAACUUUAGUAAACUAGGUAACUUGGUUAGUGGUAGGUAAUGUGACACACCAGAUUCGGCCGUAACGUCUAGGCCGAGUUUGUGGUGUUACAUUUAGUGGUAUCAAAGCCCGGUUGCAACAACUCAACUGUGGAUCGGGUCCAAAAAGGUUUUCAAAACUUUAAGCCUAAAGAGGGUAUUUUUGGAAAAAUCUGACUUUUGAAAACAAAUUUUCUGGUUAAAGGAGAUAAAUUUUCAAACUUGGUUUCUUUAAAUCAAAUGUUUGAGAAAUGGAUUUUAAAAAGGCCUAAAUCUUUUGCGUUUGUCUGAAAUCUGAUAAGGUGGCACACUGAAUCCUCGGCACCAAGUCUGUAAGUAUCUUUCUGCUCUAUAUAUAUACUGUACUGUACUAAAAAUAAUAUUGUAGAUAGUAUUGAGCCUUAGAUGUAGUACUAUAGAUAAGGUAGUAUUAAGGCUACAAAACUAAGACUGUAGAGUAAACUAAGCCCUAGGAAACUGAGACAGUAGCUAAACUGUGAUUGCGCAAGAACAACUCUAAAACUUUAUAUGUUCAUAAGAUACUCUGUAAUAAACAAUUGAAACAGUAAACUAAUGUCAUAAAAUUCGUAAUCAGAUAAAUCGAUAUGAGUACGAGAGCUGCUUAGGGAAGAGUCCGUGGUCGAGGUCGAGGUAGAGGUAGUACUCAAGCUGGAUCUUCACCCUCUGAACACAUGUCAGCUGGUGAGGCACGACCACCACCAGUGGAUGAUAAUGGGCCAUACGAUCGGGCCGCAGGGACGACGCUUUGUCCCAGGCCAUGUUGAGAGUUUUGGAAAGGGUGGCCGGAGCUGAUGUCGGGCCCAUGAAUAGGGGGUCCAUUUCUGAGCGACUCCGGGCCAACAGAGCAGAGGUUUUUAGGGGUGUAUCUAGAGUAGCCCCAAAUGUGGCUGAGUACUGGCUGGAAGCCACGGAGCGGAUUAUGGAUGACCUAGACUGCUCAGUGGAGUAGAAGUUAAAAGAAGCGGUGUCGUUGCGCGGGAUGAGGCGUAUCAGUGGUGGAUCACUGUGAGAGAAGGUACCCCAGCUGAAAGGGUAACAUGAGAGUUGUUCAAGCAGUCCUUCAAGGCGAAAUAUGUCGGAGCUAGCUAUGUGGAUGCACGAAGAAAAGAAUUCCUGAACCUGACCCAGGGUAGUAAAACUGUUGCUGAAUAUGAGGCAGAGUUUCUGCGAUUGAGCCGGUACGCUAGUGGCAUUGUCUCCACCGAAUAUGAGUGCAGUGUUCGUUUUAAGGAUGGCCUCAGGGAUGAGUUAAGGGUGCUGAUAGCUCCGCAGAGAGAGCAUGAUUUUGCUGCACUGGUAGAGAAGGCUAAGAUAGCCGAAGAGGUGAAGCAAGCCGAAUGAAAGAACCGCGUAGGGAUCGAAACUAAUUCAGGAGGGAUGCUAGACCAGCUGGUGCUGCAAACCAAAAUGUUAAGAGAGCUAGGAUGGAGGAACCAGUUCGAGUAGUUCCGGUGAACACAGUUAGACCAUAAGCUUGUGGAGAUUGUGGCAGAGUGCAUCUGGGGAAUGCUGGAAGCGUACUGGGGCUUGUCUUGUGGGUCAAACGAACAUAGGAUCAGGGAUUGUCCUAGGAGGCCAACCCAGACUCAAGUGGUUGAACAAGGGGCUGUGCAACUAGCGCGAGGUGGACCGCUGCCACCGAGAGGUCGUGGACAAGGUCGCGGUGGCAAUAUCUAUGGACGUGGGGCACCUGGCGGGGUGCUGUUAAUGCUGAGGCUCGUCAGCCAACUUUGGUAUAUACUGCUCGUCACCGCGAGGAGGGUGAUGCACCUGAUGUCAUAACUGGUACGUUUUUUAUCUCUGGCGUACCUUAUACUGCUCUGAUAGAUGUGGGGUCAACUCAUUCGUAUGUUGCAUGUGACAUUUCUGGGGCAUUGGGUGUACACUUUGAGGAGACUGUGUGUGGGGUAACUGUGAUAAGUCCUUUAGGUGACUCGGUUAAGGUAGAGAAACUCUUUAGGGAGGUUCCUUUAGAGACUCAAUGUAGGAUUUUCUGUGGAGACUUGAUGGAGUUAUCGUUCGGAUAAUUCGAUUAAAUCCUAAGGAUGGACUGGUUGACCAAGCAUAGGGCAACUCUGGAUUGUGCAGCUAAGAGGAUAGUGUUAAGGACUGUCGAGGAUGAAGAGGUAAUGAUUAUUUGAAAACGAAGAGAUUACAUGUCCAAUGUAGUAUCGGCUUUGGGGGCUGAGAAACUGAUGUGUAAGGGAUGCAAGGCAUAUUUGGCUUUUGUAAGCCAAGCUGAAACUGAGGAUCUGACUGUGGAGACAGUCAGAACUGUUAGAGAAUUUCGAAAUGUUUUCCCAAAAGAGCUUCCUGGAUUACCUUCGAACCGAGAAGUCGAGUUUGGAAUCGAUUUGCUGCCUGGAACAGCUCCAGUGUCCAUCGUACCCUAUAGGAUGGCACCGAAGGAGUUACUGGAACUGAAUGCUCAAAUCCAAGAGUUGUUGGAUAGAGGCUUCAUUAGACCGAAUGUGUCUCCAUGGGGAGAACCAGUCCUGUUUGUGAAGAAAAAAGAUGGGACGAUGCGUAUAUGCAUCGAUUAUCGCCAGUUGAACAAACUGACGAUAAAGAACAAAUACCCACUGCCUAGAAUUGACGAUCUAUUUGACCAACUUAGAGGAGCUUCAGUAUUUUACAAGAUUGACCUUCAAUCUGGAUACCAUCAGCUAAGGGUAAAGGAAGUGGAUAUUCAUAAGAUAGCAUUCAGAACUCGAUAUGGUCAUUACGAGUUUCUGGUUAUGCCAUUUGGGUUGACAAAUGCACUUGUAACUUUCAUGGAUCUGAUGAAUCGAGUAUUCCAACCUUACUUGGACCGAUUCGUGGUCGUUUUUAUCGAUGAUAUUCUGGUAUAUUUGGACACUGAGGAGAAGCAUGAUGAGCAUCUACGUAUUAUGCUGCAAGUGCUGAGAGAGCAAUAACUUUAUGCGAAGUUUAGUAAGUGUGAAUUCUGGUUGCGAGAAGUGACUUUUCUGGUCAUGUGGUUUCUACCGAAGGAAUUAGAGUGGAUCCUCAGAAAAUUGAGUCAGUUUUGGAAUGGAAACCACUGAAGUCAGUAUCAGAAAUUCAGAGUUUUCUGGGUCUGGCAGGCUAUUACAGAAGGUUUGUAGAAGGAUUUUCUCUGAUUGCUGCACCAUUGACUAAACUAUUAAGGAAAGGAGUAGCAUUUGUCUGGACUGAAAAACAGCAGAAAGCUUUUGACCAGUUGAAAAAGGUAUUGACUGAUGUGCUAGUGUUGAUUCAACCAGAGUCUAGGAAGGACUUCACUGUGUACAGCGAUGCGUCGCAUGUAGGGUUAGGAUGCGUACUGAUGCAAGAGGGUAAGGUGGUCGCUUAUGCUUCGCGACAGCUUAAGCCUCAUGAAGCGAACUACCCUACGCAUGAUUUAGAGCUAGCAGCAGUGAUCUUCGCGUUGAAAAACUGGAGACAUUACUUAUAUAGAGAAAAAUGUAUUAUAUACACAGACCAUAAAAGCCUAAAGUAUCUGUUGACUCAGAAGGAGUUAAACCUUAGGCAACGAAGAUGGAUAGAGUUUCUUAAGGAUUACGACUGUUCGAUUGAGUACCACCCAGGUAAGGCUAAUGUGGUGGCUAAUGCUUUGAGUCGAAGCGUUGUUGCUAAUUUGAGAGCCUUGUUUGGACGUUUGAGUCUGUUCGAUGAUGGAAGUCUAUUGGCAGAAUUGCAAGUGAGGCCUACUUGGACUGAACAGAUUAAAGAAAAAUAGUUGAAGGAUGAUUCGUUAGUUCUUCGGUUUUGGCAAGUUAAGAAUGGUGAGAAUGAGGAUUUUAGACUAAAUACUGACGGAGUUCUGUGCUUUCGUGGAAGAGUUUGUAUUUCGAAAGACCCUGAAUUGAGGCGGUCAAUUCUAAAAGAGGCUCAUGGUGGACCUUGUGCUAUGCAUCCUGGAGGAAAUAAGUUAUAUCGAGACCUACGAGAGGUGUACUGGUGGCCUGGACUAAAACGAGAGGUGACUAAAUUGGUUGGGAAAUGUCUGACGUGCCAACAAGUUAAGGCCGAGCACCAAUUGCCUUCUGGAUUACUGCAACCGGUGAAAAUUCCACUAUGGAAGUGGGAGAGAGCAACUAUGGACUUCGUGAGUGGGCUACCUUUGACACCCACCAAGAAAGAUUUUGUGUGGGUAAUUGUGGAUAGGUUAAUGAAAUCUGCCCAUUUCAUACCUGUUCGUACUGAUUACUCACUGCAAAAGUUGGCCAAGUUGUAUGUGGCGGAGAUAGUGUGACUGCAUGGGGUGCCAGUGUCGAUUAUUUCUGAUGGAGACCCUAGGUUUACAUCUCGGUUCUGGCAGAAGUUGCAGGAGGCAUUGGGUAUACGAUUGGAUUUCAGUACUGCUUUUCACCCUCAGACAGGUGGACAGUCGGAAAGGGUUAUUCAAGUUUUGGAGGAUAUGUUAAGAGGUUGUAUCAUUGAUUUUCGUGGUAGUUGGGAGGACUACUUGCCAUUGGCAGAGUUUGCGUACAACAACAGCUACCAAGCAAGUAUUCAGAUGGCUUCAUAUGAGGCACUUUAUGGGCGAAGAUGUCGUACACCUACGUGUUGGACAGAGUCGGGUGAACGACAAGUGCUUGGAUCGGAAUUAGUGGCAAAUACUGAAAGUAAGGUUAAGUUGAUAAGAGAUCGAUUAAAGGAGGCAUCUGAUAGACAGAAGUCGUAUACAGAUCUAAAGCGUAAAGAGAUUGAGUUCACUGUUGGGGAUAUGGUUUUCUUGAAGGUUUCACCUUGGAAGAAGAUCUUGAGGUUUGGCAAGAAAGGCAAACUGAGUCCGCGGUUUAUAGGGCCUUAUCGGGUUCUUAAACGGGUAGGGCCAGUAGCAUAUCAGUUAGAGUUACCAUCGGAGUUGGACAGAAUCCAUGACAUCUUUCAUGUGUCCAUGUUGAGACGAUAUUGAUCGGAUCCUUCACAUGUUGUGCCAGUGGAGGAGAUUGAAGUAAAGACUGAUUUGACCUUUGAGGAAGAACCCGUGCAAAUUUUAGAUCGAGAAGUUAAAGUUUUAAGAAGGAAGUGGGUUCCAUAGAUGAAAGUACUGUGGCAUAAUCAUGGAAGGGAAGAGGCUACUUGGGAGUCAGAAGACACUAUGCGUCAACAAUACCCUCAAUUAUUUGGAUCAGGUAUAUUUCGAGGCUGAAAUUUUUUUAAGGGGGGUAGAGUUGUAACGCCCUGAUUUUCGGGAUUUUCUGGGUUUCUGUGAUUUUUGGUAAAUUUUGAAAUUUUGGUGUUCUAAAUAAUGGAAUUGUGUUUAAAUGUGUUAAUGGGCCUUUAGAAGGCCCAAGCCUAAGUUAAACACGGUAAAAUAUCAAGGUUGGAUUUUCAGUGAAUAGGAGACUUGAUUAAAUGGGCUUUUAAGAAAAACUUUGUAAAUUACGACAAAAAUAAGGCCUUGGUAAAGUGACAAGGUGGCACCACUAAGUUCCUAAAAAAAUGGCGUCUGGGAAGGAAUUAAAGGUCCAGGGUUCAAGUUGCAAGGUAGGCAUAUUAUUACUUUUUAAUUUUAGGCAUGUGCCGGGCAUGUGAUCACUUAAGUGAAUUUCGGCAAGGGCCUUAGGGAGGUUGGGCCGACUGUUUUAGUUGAUAUUAGGGUUAGGUUCUUUUCUUUUUCUUUCUUGGAGAAUUAGGGUUAGCCACCUGAAAGCUUUUACUGUCAUUCAUCCUUUUUGAGUUCUCACAAAAACCGAAAAAGCAAAUUCCUUCUCCUUGGUGCCAAUUUCUUCUUCCUCUCUUUUUCCUCUAUUUUCUUUCUUCCUUUUUUCUUUUUCUUCUAGCCAAAACUUUUGAUCACCUUACUCACCUCCUCUGUCAAUCCCAUCCUCCACAAAACCUCCAUAGUCGAUUGCAUAAAAGCCGAAAUCCCGAAAACUCACUUCUUGUGCUGAUUACUCCAAGCCAAAAUCCUUCAGUUAUUUUUAUUCUUUUUAAUCAAAUUUCAUCUUCUCUAAAGCCUUAGUAUCUGUCGACAACAUUACUUCAAAGUUAUAGCCUCAAAUCGUCAUCUUCUUCAUCACUUAAAAAGCCGAAAUACCAUAGAUUUAGGGACUUAUAGCCGAAACUUCAGAUCUCCUGGAUCCGAGUUCUACUAUCGUUUAGAGGAUAGAUCUGCAUCAGAUCUGCAUAGAAUCAAAGAGGAAGAAGUGGUAAGUGCUCAUCACCUCAGAUCUAGUCUUAUUUUACAAUUUAGAAAAGCCGAAGUCCCUAAAAUCUAGGGAGGCUGUCGAUUUCGGCAUAGGGCUUCAAGGGUAUUUAACCGACGAUUUCUUUUGGUGAUUAGUGUCUUCUAGAGGUUUGAUCGAAGGCUUGGAUCUUUGGAACAACUAGACUUAGAUCUAGUCAUCAGUUUUUGGCAAAAAGGUAAGAUUCUAAAGGCUUUAGAGGCAUGGUUCGAAUAUGGGUUGCUGAAUAUUGGGAUUGGUUGUUGUGGGUUGCAAUCUAAGAAUUGUGGUAAUCAAUUGUAGGACAUCGUAAGGGAUCUCAGUAGCAGUCGUCGUGAAACAGGUGUGUAUCGAACACCCUCUCAUAGUUCAAUUUGGCAAAAGCCGAAAUGCCGAAAUUCCAGCAUUUAGUGGGCUUGUGAGUGUGCGAGUGCUCCCAAGACGUUUAGAAAUCAUUAAAUCUGAAAUCGAAAGUGGUAAGUUAGUUAUGUGUGAAGUUUCGUGCACUUCGGUAAUUGGGCCUCGAUAGGCUAAAACUGGGCCCAAUUGGCUUACGGGCCCAUACAGGUAAAUAAUAAAAAAUUAAUAAGAAUAUGUAUAAUAUAAAAAAAAUAGGCAAUAAGUAUGUUUUGUUAGACUGUAGAAUCGAAACUCCUUAAACCGGUAAACUGGUCAUAAAACUUAUAUUAAAUGGGCUUAAAUUGCUAAUGGACACUGUAGGGCCCAUUAGGGGUUUUAGGGCCCAAUGGCUAAAAUUGUGAAGUUGAGAUAAAUAAAUUACUGCGAUGACAAAUGGGCUAGUAAGGACCGUAACAUUCAUAAGAACCCUUAAAACUGAUAAAAUUACUGAAAUACCUUUAUAGGUGGAAAGUUUACAGUUUUAAUCCAAGAAGCAAAAUUACUGAUAUACCCCUAGGGUUAAGGUUGACCUGAAUACAUGUUUGGCUGUUACUAUUUACUGUAGGCCAUGUUAUUAUUAUUUGAUGCAUGGGACUGGGUUAUUGAUGGAGGAAGUACUGAAAGUGGCUUGACCACGUACUGGAGGCUUUGCCUCAGCUUACUGAUAUCUGAGCAGCUAUGCUGCAACUGUGGAGUGUAGGGCUGGGUGGGUUGAGCUAUUCCCCACAUGGAGUGGAGGGCUGGUACGGGUGGAGUGUAGCAGUUGGUUAUAGGCUGGGUUAGGCAUGCAUACACGAAUAUGUCUUUUCUGUUCUGGAAUGGGCCUACGGGCCAUACUGUUAUCUGAAAAGGGGCUAAGGCUCAGUUUAUCAUAUUCUGAAAAGGGCUUCGGCCCAGUACCUGUGGUUAUCUGAAUAGGGCUUAGGCCCAAUGGGCUUGAGCUGACUUGGGCUUUGGAUGGGUUUUCCAUAUACACAGAGUUUUCCAAACUCACCCCCUUUCUCUUCCAUCCUCGCAGGUGAGCCCUAGUUGGUGGACUUGGAGCUGGGCGGGAUUCAGAGUGGCCACGAAGAUUAAAUCUUUGGUUUUAAAUAAGUUUCAAGUAGCUUCCUUUUAAAUUUCGCAUUUAUUUUUUAUUAUUUCUGUGUUGGUAAAAGUUGUAAUAAGGCCGCUCUAUUAUUUUUAUUUUGGGUUUUUAAAUUACUUAAAUCGUUUUCGACUUGAGAUUCACAUCACUUAAAUUGAUUCCUUGAAAUUGGUUAACGCUGGGUUUAUCAAAAAUUACUUUUUCCAAACCGACACGACAACCAAACGUCUUCAAAAUGAAACUUUUCAAAGUACAACAAAAGUCACGUUUUUCUAAACCCUUAACAAUCGAUAAUGGAUAGGACUCACACUAGUGAAUCGGAACAUUUCUCUUAAAACUUCAUUAAUGGUUUUUGUAAAGCUCACCCAAACUUUAAUAAACUAGGUAACUUGGUUAGUGGUAGGUAAUGUGACACACCAGAUUCG